GGCCUCGUAGCUCAACUGGUAGAGUAUGCGUGUGCAAAGUGUAGGCGGCAUCAAUGCGUGGGUUCGAAUCCCAUCAAGGCUG
Molecule: non-coding RNA, 82 nt
Organism: Echinostoma caproni
Lineage: Eukaryota; Metazoa; Platyhelminthes; Trematoda; Plagiorchiida; Echinostomatidae
Source: Rfam